GAGGUUGUGUGUGUGUGCGUGUGUUGUCUUGCUUUAGCAGCAUGUAAAUAUUGGAGUUACUCCUUGGCCAAUGCCUCCAAUAUUGCUCGUGCUGCUGAAGCAAGAAGUCACCAAGCAGCACAUGCACGUCAUCCUU
Non-coding RNA from Danio rerio (zebrafish), 136 nucleotides. RefSeq annotates it as microRNA 16c. Lineage: Eukaryota; Metazoa; Chordata; Actinopteri; Cypriniformes; Danionidae. The record is from RefSeq and is marked provisional.